RNAcentral lists this small nuclear RNA (106 nucleotides) under Castor canadensis (American beaver). The record is from RNAcentral. Lineage: Eukaryota; Metazoa; Chordata; Mammalia; Rodentia; Castoridae.
GUGCUUGCUUCAGCAGCACAUGUACUAGAAAUGUACCCUCCAGAGACCAUCAGUUUGGCCCCAGCACAAUGAUGACACACAAAUUCACAAAGUCCUCCAUCUUUUU